UUACCUUCUAGUUUUAAUUUGUUUUACAGAUUGUUACACGUGAUUUUAUGCUCUUUUAAACGUUUAUAAAUGUGCUGCUUCUUUGUUUUUUAUAGAGCUCACAGCCUCAGUGUCUUGUGACACAGGGACCAUGACAGAAAUUCAUCUUCCAGAAGGUCCCAGAGCAGCAUCCACACCUCCUGAAAAGACCAAGAUGUAAGGUGUCUGCUGUUGAUUCCAGCUUCCACCUCAGUGACAGUGCAAGCUCAGUGAACUGUUCAAGGUAAAAAAAAUUAAAACAUUUCUGAAUUUUUAAGAUAUUAACAAUUAAAUAAGUAUGUGAUUACAUCAUGAAGGAGGCUACUGAUUCUGGCCCUGUGACACUUGGUGGUGACGUGUGAGCUGAUUCACCUGGACACUCAGCAAAAUAUGGACUCUACACCAUGAGGCAGGCACACGUUAAUAACUCUAUAAGAGCACAUAAGCAUGAGGAUGUCCUCACACACCUGUCAUCUGGUUAUGACAGCAUGAGGAUGUCCUCACACACCUGUAACCUAUCAGCUCAUCUGGCAGAAUAGAGAGAGAAGAGACAACACCACAUCUCCUGUUCCUGGAAAGCCUUCAGCCAUCCUUCGAUGACUGAGAACCUCCAUCAGCUCUGUCUCCUGUCUGCCCACAAUUAUUAUAAUAAAUAUUGUGUUUGACAAGUUU
Molecule: non-coding RNA, 690 nt
Organism: Nothobranchius furzeri (turquoise killifish)
Lineage: Eukaryota; Metazoa; Chordata; Actinopteri; Cyprinodontiformes; Nothobranchiidae
Source: RefSeq, a predicted model, not a curated record